This 440-nucleotide ribosomal RNA is filed under the name uncultured bacterium. Its description in RNAcentral is "bacterial SSU rRNA". It matches the Rfam family "Bacterial small subunit ribosomal RNA", at positions 338 to 771 of the family's 1533-position model. The record is from RNAcentral.
CCUACGGGAGGCAGCAGUAGGGAAUCUUCCGCAAUGGGCGAAAGCCUGACGGAGCAACGCCGCGUGAGUGAUGAAGGUUUUCGGAUCGUAAAGCUCUGUUGCCAGGGAAGAACGCUUGGGAGAGUAACUGCUCCCAAGGUGACGGUACCUGAGAAGAAAGCCCCGGCUAACUACGUGCCAGCAGCCGCGGUAAUACGUAGGGGGCAAGCGUUGUCCGGAAUUAUUGGGCGUAAAGCGCGCGCAGGCGGUUCAUUAAGUCUGGUGUUUAAGGCUAGGGCUCAACCCUGGUUCGCACUGGAAACUGGUGGACUUGAGUGCAGAAGAGGAAAGUGGAAUUCCACGUGUAGCGGUGAAAUGCGUAGAGAUGUGGAGGAACACCAGUGGCGAAGGCGACUUUCUGGGCUGUAACUGACGCUGAGGCGCGAAAGCGUGGGGAGCAA